GUCCACGCCCUAAACUAUGUCAACUGGUUGUUGGGGGUUUGACACUCUCAGUAACGAAGCUAACGCGUGAAGUUGACCGCCUGGGGAGUACGGCCGCAAGGUUAAAACUCAAAGGAAUUGACGGGGACCCGCACAAGCGGUGGAUUAUGUGGAUUAAUUCGAUGCAACGCGAAAAACCUUACCUACCCUUGACAUGUCCUGGAGCCCGGAGAGAUCUGGGUGUGCCCGAAAGGGAACGGGAACACAGGUGCUGCAUGGCUGUCGU
This 265-nucleotide ribosomal RNA is filed under the name uncultured bacterium. RNAcentral's name for it is "partial 16S ribosomal RNA". It matches the Rfam family "Bacterial small subunit ribosomal RNA", at positions 793 to 1055 of the family's 1533-position model. The record is from RNAcentral.